RNAcentral lists this ribosomal RNA (497 nucleotides) under uncultured bacterium. Its description in RNAcentral is "partial 16S ribosomal RNA". It matches the Rfam family "Bacterial small subunit ribosomal RNA", at positions 28 to 507 of the family's 1533-position model. The record is from RNAcentral.
GAUGAACGCUGGCGGCGUGCCUAAUACAUGCAAGUCGAGCGAACGGACGAGAAGCUUGCUUCUCUGAUGUUAGCGGCGGACGGGUGAGUAACACGUGGAUAACCUACCUAUAAGACUGGGAUAACUUCGGGAAACCGGAGCUAAUACCGGAUAAUAUUUUGAACCGCAUGGUUCAGAAGUGAAAGACGGUCUUGCUGUCACUUAUAGAUGGAUCCGCGCUGCAUUAGCUAGUUGGUAAGGUAACGGCUUACCAAGGCAACGAUGCAUAGCCGACCUGAGAGGGUGAUCGGCCACACUGGAACUGAGACACGGUCCAGACUCCUACGGGAGGCAGCAGUAGGGAAUCUUCCGCAAAGGGCGAAAGCCUGACGGAGCAACGCCGCGUGAGUGAUGAAGGUCUUCGGAUCGUAAAACUCUGUUAUUAGGGAAGAACAUAUGUGUAAGUAACUGUGCACAUCUUGACGGUACCUAAUCAGAAAGCCACGGCUAACUACGUG